Long non-coding RNA from Bubalus bubalis (water buffalo), 570 nucleotides. RefSeq lists it as uncharacterized. NCBI's taxonomy places the organism in Eukaryota, Metazoa, Chordata, Mammalia, Artiodactyla, Bovidae. The transcript is spliced from 4 exons. The record is from RefSeq and is a predicted model, not a curated record.
AAAGAGAAGGGAGCAUCAGAGGAUGAGAUGGUUGGAUGACAUCACUGGAUCAAUGGACGCACAUGGAGGAAUGUAUGCCCUCAUUUCCUGAAAAUUAGACAUGGCUCUAGACUUGCUUUGGCCAAUAAAGUUCAAGUGGAAAUGAUGUGAAUCACUUCUAGGCAGAAACAUUCAGAAGCCAACUGGUGACUCAAGCUCUAUUUCCUUGCUCAGAUGACCCCUGGAGACUUUGGAUGGCAGUGUCAUAGGAUGGUGGAUCCUCUGCCAUCUUGGGUCUUGGAGUGUUAUAGUGGGCAGACCCCUUGGUGGCCUGUGUUGGACAGCUUCCGGUGGCUGCAGACAUUCCUCAGCUUGUGGCUACAUCACUCCAGUCUUCAAGGAAGACUCCAAAAUUCAUCCUACAUAAACAAGGAAGAAACUGAACAAAGCACAUCACAGCUCAAAUGGUAUACAUUAUUCAGUUCUGAAAGUCUAUAAUUAAACUUUGAUGUCUCUUAACUUAUGGGAAGAAUAUUUUGAUGGAUCUAUGAUUUUAAUUGAAUAAAUAUACUUUAUGGAAUGAAAUGAAAA